UCUCUGUUCAUGGGUGUCCCAUGUUCAUAUAUAUGGGGUUGUUUGAAACAAGACCAUCAUGCCAUCUGGCAACACAUCCUGCUGGGCCGCCUGGUGCAGUGGUGGAGCAUCACAGGACUUCUGCCCAAACAUCCCGAAGCCCAUGAGAUGAAGAGGAUAUCUCAGAUGUGGUGUGAGAUGGACCAGAAACACAGGAGAACAUGUCUGGAGUUGAGCGGUUAUGCUGAGGAUAAGUGCCGGUGGAGCUCCCUUAUUCAAGUUAUGGUGGCUCAUAUGGAUGAACAACAUGGGCCUGUAUGGGUUUCAGAAGAGUGUGCCUUUCAGACAUACCCACCGCCAUCUCUAGAAGCUUUGCUAAAGCUAGUGCUGCUGCCUAAUAUUGACAUCCUGUCUGUCCAAUCCAUUGUAUCCUGCUUAUUUCUAUUUUAACGUUUAGUUCUUAUAGUAUAUUUAUUUUAAUAUUUAUU
Molecule: long non-coding RNA, 467 nt
Filed under: Sinocyclocheilus grahami
Lineage: Eukaryota; Metazoa; Chordata; Actinopteri; Cypriniformes; Cyprinidae
Description: lncRNA (ENSSGRG00000010953.1)
Source: RNAcentral